CUUGACAUCCAGAGAAUUUAGCAGAGAUGCUUUAGUGCCUUCGGGAACUCUGAGACAGGUGCUGCAUGGCUGUCGUCAGCUCGUGUUGUGAAAUGGUUGGGUUAACGUCCGCAACGAGCGCAACCCUUAUCCUUUGUUGCCAGCACGUAAUGGUGGGAAACUCAAAGGAGACUGCCGGUGAUAAACCGGAGGAAGGUGGGGAUGACGUCAAGUCAUCAUGGCCCUUACGAGUAGGGCUACACACGUGCUACAAUGGCGUAUACAAAGAGAAGCGACCUCGCGAGAGCAAGCGGACCUCAUAAAGUGCGUCGUAGUCCGGAUUGGAGUCUGCAACUCGACUCCAUGAAGUCGGAAUCGCUAGUAAUCGUAAAUCAGAAUGUUACGGUGAAUACGUUCCCGGGCCUUGUACACACCGCCCGUCACACCAUGGGAGUGGGUUGCAAAAGAAGUAGAUAGCUUAACCUUCGGGAGGGCGUUUACCACUUUGUGAUUCAUGACUGGGGUGAAGUCGUAACAAGGUAGGCGUAGUGCU
RNAcentral lists this ribosomal RNA (532 nucleotides) under uncultured bacterium. RNAcentral's name for it is "bacterial SSU rRNA". It matches the Rfam family "Bacterial small subunit ribosomal RNA", at positions 980 to 1509 of the family's 1533-position model. The record is from RNAcentral.